This 27-nucleotide transfer RNA is filed under the name Sus scrofa (pig). RNAcentral describes it as "piRNA piR-ssc-118038". Lineage: Eukaryota; Metazoa; Chordata; Mammalia; Artiodactyla; Suidae. The record is from RNAcentral.
CUGAAAUUCUAACUAAACUAUUCCCUG